This 82-nucleotide transfer RNA is filed under the name Candidatus Roizmanbacteria bacterium RIFCSPHIGHO2_12_FULL_38_13. RNAcentral's name for it is "tRNA-Leu". It matches the Rfam family "tRNA". From Rfam's summary of the family: Transfer RNA (tRNA) molecules are approximately 80 nucleotides in length. Their secondary structure includes four short double-helical elements and three loops (D, anti-codon, and T loops). The record is from RNAcentral. Lineage: Bacteria; Candidatus Roizmaniibacteriota.
GGCCGAGUGGUGAAACCGGUAUACACGCAAGACUUAAAAUCUUGUGUCGCAAGACGUGCGGGUUCGAGUCCCGCCUCGGCCA